RNAcentral lists this transfer RNA (88 nucleotides) under Gammaproteobacteria bacterium. RNAcentral's name for it is "tRNA-Leu". It matches the Rfam family "tRNA". From Rfam's summary of the family: Transfer RNA (tRNA) molecules are approximately 80 nucleotides in length. Their secondary structure includes four short double-helical elements and three loops (D, anti-codon, and T loops). Further hydrogen bonds mediate the characteristic L-shaped molecular structure. tRNAs have two regions of fundamental functional importance: the anti-codon, which is responsible for specific mRNA codon recognition, and the 3' end, to which the tRNAs corresponding amino acid is attached (by aminoacyl-tRNA synthetases). tRNAs cope with the degeneracy of the genetic code in two manners: having more than one tRNA (with a specific anti-codon) for a particular amino acid; and 'wobble' base-pairing, i.e. permitting non-standard base-pairing at the 3rd anti-codon position. Lineage: Bacteria; Pseudomonadati; Pseudomonadota; Gammaproteobacteria. The record is from RNAcentral.
GCCGAAGUUGCCAAGCCAGGUCAAAGGCGGCAGACUCAAGAUCUGUUCCCGCAGGGGUUCGCCGGUUCAAAUCCGGCCUUCGGCACUA